This 1065-nucleotide ribosomal RNA is filed under the name Picocystis salinarum. RNAcentral describes it as "partial Bacterial large subunit ribosomal RNA". It matches the Rfam family "Bacterial large subunit ribosomal RNA", at positions 26 to 1181 of the family's 2925-position model. Lineage: Eukaryota; Viridiplantae; Chlorophyta; Picocystophyceae; Picocystales; Picocystaceae. The record is from RNAcentral.
GAAUGCCUAGGCCUCCCUUUCCACGAGGACGCGCACCGCCGCGAAAGGCCACGGGGAGGAGCGCCCUGGGAUCCGUGGAUGUCCUCCCGGGAAACCCUCGAUGCAAACCGCCGGCGAACCGAACCAUCCCAGUAGCCGGUGCAAGGGAAAUCAACCGAGACUCCGUGGGUAGCGGCGAGCGACAACGGAGCAGGCGCCCCCUGGGCCGCGCGCGCUCCUUCGGGAAGCGGGUGGGAUCCCGCACCGCAGAGGGUGACAGUCCCGUCCCCGAGGUGCGCCGCGCAACACGCUCCGGAGGCACGCAGUACGCCCCUCUCCCCAGGGGGGUGGAAGCGCGGGGGACCGCCCUCGAAGCCUGAGCCAAGGGGGAGGACCGAUAGUGCACCAGUACCGUGAGGGAAAGGUGAAAAGAACCCCGAGCAGGGGAGUGAAAGAGACACCUGCAUCCCGAGGCCUCCCGUCGGUCGUCCUCUCCCGCGACGCUUCGCGGUCGAGGGGACGGCGUACCUUUUGUAUCAUGGGUCAGCGAGUCCUCCUGCGCAGCGCGCUUCAGCCGCUAGGUGUAGGCGCAGGUCACCCGAGUCUCCAAGGGCGCACCGUUGCGCGGGGGGGACCCGAAACCGAGUGCUCGAGUCCUGGGCAGGUCGAAGGGGGGGGACCACCUCCUGGAGGACCGCACCCACUCCUGUGGCAAAAGGAGGGGAAGACCUGGGAUUAGGGGUGAAAGGCCAAUCAAACUCGGAGAUCGCUGGUUUUCCGCGAAAGCUAUGGAGGUAGCGCGUGGAGAAGGCCUGGACCGGAGGUAGAGCGCGGUUGGGGCCUCGCGCCCCGACCACCUUCCAAUGCCGGCGCCAGGAUCCUCCGCAGACAGACCUUCGGUGCGAAGAUCGAAGGUCGAAAGGGAAACAGCCCUGCUCGCACGCUAAGGUCCCCAAGCCGCCCACCAGUGGGAAAGGAGGGGCGCGCCCGAAGACAGCCAGGAGGUGGGCUUGGAAGCAGCCAUCCUCGGAGGAACGCGUAAGAGCGCACUGGUCGAGGGCGCGCCCGCCGAGAAUGUACCGGGGC